GCGACAGGUUUAGGAUGUCUUAGCUAAGAUCACCAUAAGACAGCUUUGUGACGAGGUCUGAGAUAUGUCUUAGGAUAGUUAUAAGAGGAUCAUAAGACAUGUCUUAGGAUAGCUUCGUGAAACCGGUCCAGGUUAAUAAUUAAAAAAACUUGAUUUAUUUUCCAGCCUAUCACACAAUAUUAUAUAAGUUAACUUUUAAAAUAUAUUAUAUGCCAAAUAUAGUUUUAUAAUUAUACUGUUUUUGUUUCGUCUUUUUGUCGGUCAUCCUUAUACAUGUAAGCAUCUUUCGUUCUUUUUUGUGGUUGAUUUUGCUCUGUGUUAUACUAUUCCCAUUUUAAUGACUGACUAAAUCAGAGGCUGAGCAUUAAUUUAAAUAAUUUUACUUAUUUAUAUGAAUUUUCUGUUGUAAAAUAGUAAGAUUUUCUCAAAUAAAGAGAAAAGAGGAGGAGGGCAAGUUGUAGAAACAAUAAACCUGUAAUAUAAGUUUUGAAUAUGCGUUAGAUAAUUGUAUGAGCAUGUCAGAUGAACAAUUAAUUACUUCACGAAAUGCGCCAGUUUGGGUUAUACAAUCUUUUAAUCAAUUAUUAUUAUAAUACAUUUAUACUAUUGGUA
Molecule: long non-coding RNA, 612 nt
Filed under: Mytilus galloprovincialis (Mediterranean mussel)
Lineage: Eukaryota; Metazoa; Mollusca; Bivalvia; Mytilida; Mytilidae
Source: RNAcentral